GCGGGGGUGUCCCAGCCGGUCAAAGGAGCAUGACUGAGGCUCAUGUGGCGUAGGCCUUCGCGCGUUCGAAUCGCGUCCCCCGCACCA
This 87-nucleotide transfer RNA is filed under the name Candidatus Heimdallarchaeota archaeon. RNAcentral's name for it is "tRNA-Leu". It matches the Rfam family "tRNA". Rfam says of the family: Transfer RNA (tRNA) molecules are approximately 80 nucleotides in length. Their secondary structure includes four short double-helical elements and three loops (D, anti-codon, and T loops). The record is from RNAcentral. Lineage: Archaea; Promethearchaeati; Candidatus Heimdallarchaeota.